Molecule: ribosomal RNA, 482 nt
Filed under: uncultured bacterium
Lineage: Bacteria
Description: partial 16S ribosomal RNA
Rfam family: Bacterial small subunit ribosomal RNA
Source: RNAcentral
AUUGAACGCUGGCGGCAGGCCUAACACAUGCAAGUCGAGCGGAUGAAGGGAGCUUGCUCCUGGAUUCAGCGGCGGACGGGUGAGUAAUGCCUAGGAAUCUGCCUGGUAGUGGGGGAUAACGUCCGGAAACGGGCGCUAAUACCGCAUACGUCCUGAGGGAGAAAGUGGGGGAUCUUCGGACCUCACGCUAUCAGAUGAGCCUAGGUCGGAUUAGCUAGUUGGUGGGGUAAAGGCCUACCAAGGCGACGAUCCGUAACUGGUCUGAGAGGAUGAUCAGUCACACUGGAACUGAGACACGGUCCAGACUCCUACGGGAGGCAGCAGUGGGGAAUAUUGGACAAUGGGCGAAAGCCUGGUCCAGCCAUGCCGCGUGUGUGAAGAAGGUCUUCGGAUUGUAAAGCACUUUAAGUUGAGGAAGGGCAGUAAGUUAAUACCUUGCUGUUUUGACGUUACCAACAGAAUAAGCACCGGCUAACUUCGUG